AUCUGUCGUAGUUGCUGGCUCUACUUGUGCAUUUGCAACUGCUUCGUUUGUUUCUGUGGACGCUGUGGCAGAGGGAUUUGCUGCACCCUGAGACUCCGUGCUCCCGGCUUGGUUUUCUCGACGAGAUAAGGGCCUCAAAAACUGAUGGAUUCUGUUUCUCAAUUCAGACAAACCCCGACCGCCAGGAGAAGCACUGCUAUCACCUACAUAUUUCAUAGAAGCAAAGAUUUAUGACAUAUCCUGCGUUUAGGUAACACAUCAUCUACCAGGUCUAAGAAGAUUGAAGCCAAAACAACCAAGGGAAACAUCAAAUCAAACAUAAUAUGAG
RNAcentral lists this long non-coding RNA (328 nucleotides) under Arabidopsis thaliana (thale cress). Its description in RNAcentral is "long non-coding RNA (ATHA_LNC000407)". The record is from RNAcentral. Lineage: Eukaryota; Viridiplantae; Streptophyta; Magnoliopsida; Brassicales; Brassicaceae.